CCUGGCGGCCGUAGCGCGGUGGUCCCACCUGACCCCAUGCCGAACUCAAGAAGUGAAACGCCGUAGCGCCGAUGGUAGUGUGGGGUCUCCCCAUGCGAGAGUAGGGAACUGCCAGGC
This 117-nucleotide ribosomal RNA is filed under the name Escherichia coli. The record is from RNAcentral. Lineage: Bacteria; Pseudomonadati; Pseudomonadota; Gammaproteobacteria; Enterobacterales; Enterobacteriaceae.